Molecule: non-coding RNA, 551 nt
Organism: Pelobates cultripes (western spadefoot toad)
Lineage: Eukaryota; Metazoa; Chordata; Amphibia; Anura; Pelobatidae
Source: the annotation of a GenBank genome assembly
UUUCAUAAGAAUAGCGAAUUACUACGUGGCGGUGUAGGUGGAAGAGGAGAGGUAGCCAACACUGUUUUUUAUAUAUAUUUUUUUUAUUUUAAUUGGGGUAACCCCCAAAAUAUUGGGACAUAUAAAAAAAAGAAACAUUUGCAGCCUGUGAUGCAUUUCUUGCAGUCCUGAUGCAUGGAGAAAUGCUCAACUCCUGGUGCAUGGAGAAAAGGGGGAAUCAGGCAAGAAGGCGACGACGCAUUCGUAUGUCAAUCCAUAUCAACUUUCGAUGCCACUGACUGCGCCUACCAUGGUGACCAUGGGUAACGGGGAAUCAGGGUUCCAUUCAGUACAGGGACCCUGAGAAAUGGCUACCACAUGCAAGAAAGGCAGCAGGCGCGCAAAUGACCCACUCCCGACGUGGGAAAGUAGUGACGACAAAUAACAAUACAAGACUCUUUAGAGGCCCUGUAAUUGUAAUGAGUCCACUUGAAAUCCUUUAAGUCUGAUCAAUUGGAGGGAAGUCUGGUGCAGAGCCACUGACCCGUGCGUGCUGCAGCUGAAACUCCACU